AGUGAACGCUGGCGGCGUGCCUAAUACAUGCAAGUCGAGCGCAGGAAAUCAUCCGAACCUUUCGGGGGGACGUUGAUGGAAUGAGCGGCGGACGGGUGAGUAACACGUAAAGAACCUGCCCUCAGGUCUGGGAUAACCACGAGAAAUCGGGGCUAAUACCGGGUGGGUCAUCGGACCGCAUGGUCCGAGGAUGAAAGGCGCUUCGGCGUCGCCUGGGGAUGGCUUUGCGGUGCAUUGGCUAGUUGGUGGGGUAAUGGCCCCCCAAGGCGACGGAGGAUAGCCGAGCUGAGAGGGUGCUCGGCCACACGGGGACUGAGACACGGCCCAGACUCCUACGGGAGGCAGCAGUAGGGAAUCUUCCACAAUGGACGAAAGUCUGAUGGAGCAACGCCGCGUGAAUGAUGAAGGCCUUCGGGUCGUAAAGUUCUGUUGUAAGGGAAGAACAAGUGCCGCAGGCAAUGGCGGCACCUUGACGGUACCUUGCGAGAAAGCCACGGCUAACUACGUGCCAGCAGCCGCAGUAA
RNAcentral lists this ribosomal RNA (524 nucleotides) under uncultured bacterium. Its description in RNAcentral is "partial 16S ribosomal RNA". It matches the Rfam family "Bacterial small subunit ribosomal RNA", at positions 30 to 523 of the family's 1533-position model. The record is from RNAcentral.